GAGGUUAUAGCUCAGUUUGGUUAGAGCAUCGGUUUGUGGUACCGAGGGUCGUGGGUUCAAGUCCCAUUAGCCUCC
RNAcentral lists this transfer RNA (75 nucleotides) under Saprospiraceae bacterium. RNAcentral describes it as "tRNA-His". It matches the Rfam family "tRNA". From Rfam's summary of the family: Transfer RNA (tRNA) molecules are approximately 80 nucleotides in length. Their secondary structure includes four short double-helical elements and three loops (D, anti-codon, and T loops). Lineage: Bacteria; Pseudomonadati; Bacteroidota; Saprospiria; Saprospirales; Saprospiraceae. The record is from RNAcentral.